This 253-nucleotide ribosomal RNA is filed under the name uncultured bacterium. Its description in RNAcentral is "partial 16S ribosomal RNA". It matches the Rfam family "Bacterial small subunit ribosomal RNA", at positions 524 to 776 of the family's 1533-position model. The record is from RNAcentral.
UACGAAGGGGGCUAGCGUUGUUCGGAAUUACUGGGCGUAAAGCGCACGCAGGCGGUUCGAUCAGUCAGAAGUGAAAGCCCCGGGCUUAACCUGGGAACUGCUUUUGAUACUGUCGAGCUUGAAUCACGGAGAGGGUAGUGGAAUUCCGAGUGUAGAGGUGAAAUUCGUAGAUAUUCGGAAGAACACCAGUGGCGAAGGCGACUACCUGGCCGUCGAUUGACGCUCAUGUGCGAAAGCGUGGGGAGCAAACAGG